Molecule: ribosomal RNA, 801 nt
Filed under: uncultured Weissella sp.
Lineage: Bacteria; Bacillati; Bacillota; Bacilli; Lactobacillales; Lactobacillaceae
Description: bacterial SSU rRNA
Rfam family: Bacterial small subunit ribosomal RNA
Source: RNAcentral
AAGAGCUUGCUGAGAUAGACGAUGGACAUUGCAAAGAGUGGCGAACGGGUGAGUAACACGUGGGAAACCUACCUCUUAGCAGGGGAUAACAUUUGGAAACAGAUGCUAAUACCGUAUAACAAUAGCAACCGCAUGGUUGCUACUUAAAAGAUGGUUCUGCUAUCACUAAGAGAUGGUCCCCGCGGUGCAUUAGUUAGUUGGUGAGGUAAUGACUCACCAAGACGAUGAUGCAUAGCCGAGUUGAGAGACUGAUCGGCCACAAUGGGACUGAGACACGGCCCAUACUCNUACGGGAGGCAGCAGUAGGGAAUCUUCCACAAUGGGCGAAAGCNUGAUGGAGCAACGCCGCGUGUGUGAUGAAGGGUUUCGGCUCGUAAAACACUGUUGUAAGAGAAGAAUGACAUUGAGAGUAACUGUUCAAUGUGUGACGGUAUCUUACCAGAAAGGAACGGCUAAAUACGUGCCAGCAGCCGCGGUAAUACGUAUGUUCCAAGCGUUAUCCGGAUUUAUUGGGCGUAAAGCGAGCGCAGACGGUUAUUUAAGUCUGAAGUGAAAGCCCUCAGCUCAACUGAGGAAUUGCUUUGGAAACUGGAUGACUUGAGUGCAGUAGAGGAAAGUGGAACUCCAUGUGUAGCGGUGAAAUGCGUAGAUAUAUGGAAGAACACCAGUGGCGAAGGCGGCUUUCUGGACUGUAACUGACGUUGAGGCUCGAAAGUGUGGGUAGCAAACAGGAUUAGAUACCCUGGUAGUCCACACCGUAAACGAUGAGUGCUAGGUGUUUGAGGGUUUCCGCCCUUAAGU